AAUGAACUGUAAAUUAUUUUUAAGUUUGUAUUGCAGAGAAGAUUAGCAUGGCCCCUGCGCAAGGAUGACACGCACAAUCGUGAAGCGUUCCACAUUUUU
Small nuclear RNA from Sipha flava (yellow sugarcane aphid), 99 nucleotides. The record is from RefSeq and is a predicted model, not a curated record. Lineage: Eukaryota; Metazoa; Arthropoda; Insecta; Hemiptera; Aphididae.